GACCUGGUGGUUAUGGCGGAGCGGCUGCACCCGAUCCCAUUCCGAACUCGGCCGUGAAACGCUCCAGCGCCAAUGGUACUUUGUCUUAAGACACGGGAGAGUAGGUCGCUGCCAGGUCU
Molecule: ribosomal RNA, 119 nt
Filed under: Brucella rhizosphaerae
Lineage: Bacteria; Pseudomonadati; Pseudomonadota; Alphaproteobacteria; Hyphomicrobiales; Brucellaceae
Source: RNAcentral